ACGCCAUCAGCCGGCGCGAUGUUUUUAGACUCCGGUGAUGUCGUGGCGCUUUGGAGAAAGAAGUUGGUGUUUCUCUGGGCCUUGGUACUGAAGACGCCGUCCGGGCGACCCCUGGCUCCUUCUUAUCCACCCCUCCAUCUGCUUUUUUCUUCCCUACUCUGGCAGGAUGAGGCGUGCAGGCCUGGGUGAAGGAGUACCUCCUGGCAACUAUGGGAACUAUGGCUAUGCUAACAGUGGCUACAGUGCCUGUGAAGAAGAAAACGAGAGACUCACUGAAAGUCUGAGAAGCAAAGUAACUGCUAUAAAAUCUCUUUCCAUUGAAAUAGGCCAUGAGGUUAAACAUCAAAAUAAAUUAUUAGCUGAAAUGCGGGAAGAUGAGGUAGAAGCCACGGUAUCUUCCGUCUUGUAUUUAGAAACACUGUUGAAGACUCGGGGCAAAUGACUGUUUUGCUUGUUCUUGGAAAUCUCAAUGGCUACAGACUACCGAGUAAUCAGAAAGCACUUCAGAUCCAACCAGCUGAAUGUCUUUCACUUAAUGAUUCACAAUUUGAUUCUACAACUGGAUUUCUAGGUAAAACUAUGGGGAAACUGAAGAUUUUAUCUAGAGGAAGCCACACAAAGCUGCUGUGCUAUAUGAUGCUGUUUUCAUUGUUUGUCUUUUUGGUCAUUUAUUG
RNA transcript from Ailuropoda melanoleuca (giant panda), 674 nucleotides. It is a transcript of the gene named Bet1 golgi vesicular membrane trafficking protein, with no coding region annotated. The transcript has 5 exons. Lineage: Eukaryota; Metazoa; Chordata; Mammalia; Carnivora; Ursidae. The record is from RefSeq and is a predicted model, not a curated record.